GUUUAUAAUGGGUGUGUAUGGGACGGAAUGUUGGGGCUAGAGUGAGGCAGCUCAACUGCUAGAGUGAGAGGAGCAAAAAAAAUAAUCUUAAAAUCUUUUUUAAAACUGCUGCUGUGUCCGCAGCGUUUGCUCUACAGGUAUGAUUUUACCCUCAAAACGUAGCCAUGGCUGUCCUCUUUCAUCCAAUGUGUUUACUAUUGUACUAGGUGUUAUGGUUCUUUCAUAAAUGUCACCAAUGCACAGCCUCCUCCCUCCAACUCUUCCAUAGACUCUAAUGUUAAAAUGGCUCAGAAGGUUCGUUUGAAAAUCAGAAGAGCAUGGUGUCUUUCCACUGUCACCACGUCCAUAUAAUAAACUCCACAGACAUGAAAACUGAGAAUUCAGUAGACUAGACAUGGCUGUCGCUCACGGUGAAAGAAUUUUGUCAGUACGACAUGUACUUUUCAUUUGGGAACGAUUUGUUUCGGCCUGACUUUUCUGUUCAUUUUAAGCAGCAAAAGUGAGGUGCAUGUCUGUGUGCGUGUGUAUGGAGCCAUUGGGUGCGGUCACUAUAGCAACCAGGCUCACACCUGCCUGCUUAACGAGCUCUGCCUGCCACUGUACCAAGAUUCAUCUUAAACACUUCUCUUUCAACUGCUGCUGUGUCCACAGUGUUACAGCCAUCAUUUUACCCUCAAAACGUCGCCAUCGUUGUUCUCUUUCCAACAUCUUGUCUUUCAAAGCUCAGGCAUUUAAACUUUUUAAACUGUGUGGAUCAAAGUGGAGGGAUCACAUUUUAGUCAUUCAGUGAUUCAAAGAAUAUGACCUUUUAAUAUUCAUUCAGAUGUUUUCUGACUCUAAAUGUUCUUUUCUCAUUUCUUAGGGUUUUCUAAUUUACAAUUAAAACAUUUUCAGCUUUUUUCCAACUUCUUCUUCUGUGUAACCUUCAGCUUUUAGCAGUUCAGCACCUUUGUUUUCAG
This is a long non-coding RNA of Astatotilapia calliptera (eastern happy), 959 nucleotides long. NCBI's taxonomy places the organism in Eukaryota, Metazoa, Chordata, Actinopteri, Cichliformes, Cichlidae. The record is from Ensembl.